Molecule: long non-coding RNA, 1269 nt
Filed under: Olea europaea (common olive)
Lineage: Eukaryota; Viridiplantae; Streptophyta; Magnoliopsida; Lamiales; Oleaceae
Description: long non-coding RNA (OEUR_LNC012787)
Source: RNAcentral
GCAACCUUUGAUGUAGUUUCCUUUAAUAAUGACCAGGUACAAAUCAUUUUCUCAUUAUCGCCUUCAACUCAUCCCACGUGUUGAUAGGCCUCUCCCGAUUCAUAUGCCUCGAUGUCAUCACUUAAUCUCACCAAGUGAUCGCAUAAUCAGUAAACUCAAGGACUGCUAAUCUCACCUUCUUUUCCUCAGAGUAAUUGUGACACUCAAAGAUACGCUCCACCUUUUUCUUCCAUUCCAGGUACACCUCCAUGUCACUCUUACCCUUGAAUGGCGAAUGGACAUUUUGAUGUUGUUUAUACCUCCAUCCACGUCAUCUUCAUAGUUAUUUCUACCCCACUGUUCAAACCUAUCACAUCUAUUCCUCAUUCCCCGAUUCAACUCCAUUAAACUCAUCCUCAUCCAGCUCAGCACCAUAUCCAUAUUCAUCUCUCAUCUCCACCAUAGGCUCCCAUCUGCCAUGUCCCCUAUGAAGAUUGGUGACAGAUGUGCUAAGCCUAUCUAUCCUAUCCCCCAUAUCUUUUAACAUAUUUUCAAACCGCAUCAUCAUAUCGUCUAGCAUAUUUGUUCAACCACCAAUCCUGGUUGAGUUCGAUCCUUCACUGCCAAACAUCCUAAGUUCUAAAAUUUUAUUUUUGCCUCACCAAUAUUUCUCUCGGGAAUCACUCAAUUUUCUGCUUUUACCCUCAAUUGAUUUCACCACUCAGCAUUUUACCACUCACUGCUUCCAAUCAACGUUUCAGAAAAAAUUCAAGCUCAAUUUCUUGUGAAAAUUUAAUUGGAUUGUGUGUGAGACUCGUGAAUUUUUUUUAAAGAACUUAAGAAACUGGAUAGAAAUUUGAAAAGAAUUAUGGAAAUUCAAGAAAGUGGUUCUUGAAUUUUUGACUGACUGGAUAGAAAAAUGUGAAACUGGAAGGGCUAUAAAGACAAUUCAAACAAUAACAAUAAGUUUUCCCUUUUUUCAAAAUUUUCAAAUUUUUUUUAUUUUACUUCUGAAUAGUACCGUGAACGGUUAAAUUUUUUUUCCCAACUCACUAAAUGGAAAAUUUGACUACGACGCUAACGAAACAAACAGAAGUGGAUUUGGACGUCAAGUUUGAAUUUUUUUUUGACUUUUUAUGGAUCAAAGACACAACAAGUGAAGAAAAUACAAAGAACACAAAAAGGAAUUGUGGAAAAUAAAAUCAAAAGACUCAACAAGAAAAGAAAAGGAUAUAACCUUUGAUUUUGGUACCUAAACUCUGAUGCCAACUGAUAUAAACCCGGUUAGCA